GCCGGUGACCAUAGCAACAGUGCCCGACCCGAUCCCAUCCCGAACUCGGAAGUCAAACCUGUUAGCGCCGAUGGUACUGCAGCGAACGCUGUGGGAGAGUAGGACGUUGCCGGCU
This 115-nucleotide ribosomal RNA is filed under the name Myxococcota bacterium. The record is from RNAcentral. Lineage: Bacteria; Pseudomonadati; Myxococcota.